CCUACGGGAGGCAGCAGUAAGGAAUAUUGGUCAAUGGGCGCAAGCCUGAACCAGCCAUGCCGCGUGCAGGAUGACGGCCCUCUGGGUUGUAAACUGCUUUUAUACGGGAAGAACAGCAUCUACGUGUAGGUGUUUGACGGUACUGUAAGAAUAAGGACCGGCUAACUUCGUGCCAGCAGCCGCGGUAAUACGAAGGGUCCAAGCGUUAUCCGGAUUUAUUGGGUUUAAAGGGUGCGUAGGCGGCUUUUUAAGUCAGUGGUGAAAGCCUGAUGCUCAACAUCAGAACUGCCAUUGAUACUGAAGAGCUUGAGUACAGUUGAGGUUGGCGGAAUGUGUCAUGUAGCGGUGAAAUGCUUAGAUAUGACACAGAACACCGAUUGCGAAGGCAGCUAGCUAAGCUGUUACUGACGCUGAUGCACGAAAGCGUGGGGAGCAAACAGGAUUAGAUACCCUGGUAGUCCACGCCCUAAACCGUUGAUAACUCGUUGUUAGCGAUAUACUGUUAGCGACCAAGCGAAAGCAUUAAGUUAUCCACCUGGGAAGUACGGUCGCAGAUUGAAACUCAAAUGAAUUGACGG
RNAcentral lists this ribosomal RNA (578 nucleotides) under uncultured bacterium. RNAcentral's name for it is "bacterial SSU rRNA". It matches the Rfam family "Bacterial small subunit ribosomal RNA", at positions 338 to 916 of the family's 1533-position model. The record is from RNAcentral.